GGAGUCAUUGCAAGGGAGACCUUUAGGGGCUCUGGCAGAGAGUGACUGUCAUUAUAUAGAAGUUCCCGUGGGGAGCACUGCCAGGUGGGUCCUAACAAACCAUGAUGGGGUCACUGCAGAAGUCACCGCUGGGGAGGGUCCUCAGGGAGGAUGUUUAGAAAUUAGAAGAGGGAGAGUCAUUGUGACAGCCUGCUGCCUCCCCCCCUCCCCAGGAAAUACUGCUGCACAAGGGUGACCAUGGAGGCGGGAGGCAGGGGGCCUGCAGGUGCAGCCCCAGCUUCCUCCUUACCUUUGUGCUCAUGAUGUCUUGGCGGUUGAUGAGCACUUGCUCCUCAGGCCAGGCGUAGGGCUCAUGAGUGGCCCUCUGCAAGGGUGAGGAGAGAGCCCAUCAGUGCAGCCUCUGUCCCUGGGACCCAGCACGAUGCACCUGCACCCCCACUCCCUCACCCCCCAAUGUGCCCAGCUUGGUGGGCCAAGGCAGGGGCCACCUACCAUGAUAUUAAAAGGUUUAACAUUGGUGUCAGUCCACUGCUGCCACCACUUCUUUUGGCUGUCUAUCAUAGCUGCUCAGUCUCCUCCCACCUGUCAAAGAAACUUCAUUCCAAGUGGUCUUGCUCCCCCUCGUGGUGAUAUCAUAGAGGACUCUGUGACCUCCAGCUGUCCACAUUCCACCAAGGAAUUCUUGAGCUUCAAGAAAAGCUCCUCCCACUGACUCCCCUGGGUACCCCACGGAGGAAGCCUGGGGCACUGAGGGGCUGGGCUGGAGUCAGGGGUCAGAGGCUGAUGGGAACAAGUCAGGUUUCUUGUACACCCCUGGAUGGAGACAGAGGGGCAUGGCCUUACUCUGGGUCCAGGAGCUGGAGGGGAGACUGGGAGGAGGAAGAGAAGAGAUCCUCCUCCCAGAAGACCUUAACCUGUACCUGUCCCCACCAGCUUCACCAUCCAUAACCCGUCUCAGGGCCAUCCACCCUGUCCUUCCACACAGGUAUGUUUCUCCAUCGAGAGAAAGGCCAGUCUAUUGUUUCUCUGUGCCUCCCUGGGGAGGGGGCAGGAGAGUACCCCCUGGUUUCUGAAGGGUGGGAAAGAGAUGGGCAUAAGCGGAGGCCCUCACUGGCUAUGGAUCAGCAGCUCUCAUCCUGAGAGGCACAGAACUUCAGGAAUAGGGCUCAGGCCAGUGGUCUGCACACAUGGCGGACCAGUUACCAAGAGCAUUCCUGUCCCCCCCCCUUUUUUUUUUUGAUAUUUUAUUUAUUUAUUCAUGAGAGACAGAGAGAGAGAGAGAGAGAGAGAGAGAGAGAGAGAGAGAGGCAGAGACACAGGCAGAGGGAGAAGCAGGCUCCAUGCAGGGAGCCCGACCUGGGACUCGAUCCCGGGUCUCCAGGAUCAGGCCCUGGGCCGAAGGCAAGGCUAAACCGCUGAGCCACCCGAGCUGCCCAUUCCUGUCCUGAUACCUUUCCAUGCUUGUCCCCUCUGAGAGCAGAUUCCUGGUUCUAAUAUGGAAGGCAAAGGCACAUGUGGAUUCAUUUUAGAUAUGAUUGAUUUUAUUUUGUUGAAAGUGUUUCUUGUGUAAAAUGAACACCUAUACAAGACUAGGCAGGGAACGGGUUUGUGCCCCCACAGGUCAGAGGAUGAGGUGGGAGAGAAUUUCUUGCAGGCCAGCUUCCCACCACUUCAUUGGCAAGAGAGAGGAUGGCACAGAGUUCACUUCACUUGACCCCACUCCAGGGGAGAGAGGAGCAGAAAUGGUGGACACUUAGGCAGAGGGGGCCAUCUCGGGGUAGCACUACUUCUGACCUUGAACAGAGCCGGCAGGGGCCCUGUCCUGGGCGUGUCAGAGGCUGGGGGGUUGAGGUGGUCUUCGAGGCCAGAGGUCAGGAGCCAGAGUACUGACCAGGGUCAGAGGUCAGGAGGCUGGAAGUUGCUCUCUGGGGUCCGGGGGCAGAGAUGGGACUGCUCCUCAGGGUCAGAGGGCAGGGGGUGGGAAGGCUGUUCUCUGGGGUCAGAGCUCAGGACUUGGGAGGGGCCUUCAGCUUGCACCACUGCCCCGGCCCCCAGGCUCUCCAAGUAGAGAUCUUGGUUCUGCUCCUUCCACUGUCGGAACUUCUCUCCUGUCAGCUCGGGGUCACCCAGCACUUCCUCCAAAGCCUGAAGCUCCUGCAGCUUUGCCUGUGAAGAGAGUGGGAGCUCGGGGGCAUGAUCACCUAGGGAGAGGGGCAGAGCCCGAGCUCAGGGCUCACUCUGGGGUCCAGUGCUUGGAACCCAGCACCUGGCCCGCUCCAGCCCCAACCCUCACAAGGAGAGGCAGGCUCUGGGAGCCUGGAACUGGUUCGGUCCACAGCUGGGCCCAGAGCUCAGGCCAGGAAGCAGAACCACAAGCCCGGAGCCCUGUCCUCCACCAUGCCCAGUGCCCUCCAGCUGACCUUGAGUGUGCUCUGUAGUGCUCGUACGCGGUGCACUAGCUCAUUUUGCUGGGGGUCUCGGUUGCGCCGCAUGAAAGAGCUCCGCCAUUGUUCCUGAGUGAGGGGCUGCGGCUGGCCCAGGAGGGACACGCCACCCUGCCUCAGCCCCCGCACCAUUCCUUCCAGCGCCCCUUCACUGUUGUCUGUGGGGGAGGGGGGCAGAUGACCAUGUGCCCACCCCCUGCCCUCCAUCUCUGCUCCCACCCCCUGCCCUCCAUCUCCGCUCCCAACCCCAGCACAACACCUGUUGGUGAGCCAAAGGAUGUCCGUGGACUGCCCUGCGUCGGGGUAGCUGCAGGUGAUGUGUCUCCAUGGAGCGGACCCCAGACUUGGGCUGGGCAGGGCUGUGGGCAGGGUGGGAGGAGAAGUGGGUAUCAUUCUGAGCGCUACGGAUGUACCCCCCCACACACACUCAUCUCCUACUCACCGAGGCUGAUCGGGACCCAGCAUCAUCGUCAGGGUCUUCUGCUUCUGUCUCACUGUAGCAGUCUGGGGGAACAGGAGCAAUUGGGAGCCCACUAAGCAUCACAGGGUUUUAGGAGGCCAGAGAGUGGCUAGGGCAUUGGAGUUCCCAGCCCCCAUCCCAGGAAAGACAGAGGCUCAGCUGAGACCUGGUGAGACCUACCCCUGUGAGACACCCACCUUCUUCUCGGGGCAGGGAGGCCCGGCGUGGAGACUGGUACUUGAAAAUGCAGGUAAUUAGAUGGCGCACCCACCUGUGUAGGAGCAAAUGGGUCUUGGAGUUUCCGUCUACUGUAUGCUAGGGGAUUUUCACCUGUUAUCAUCUUCUAACUUAACCCUCAGAGUACCUCUGAGAGGUAGGAACUCGAACUAACCCAUUUUAUAGAUGAUGAAACUGAGGCUUGGAGAAGUGAGUGCCUUGAUCAGCCACCAUCAGAGAACAGGGAUCGGAAUCCAGGUUCCUAAGCCAGGCUCACAAGCACUCAUGUGGAAGCUGGGAGGUAAGGGGGUGGGGAUGGGGGCUGGCACUCACAUGCUCAGAUCCUCCAGGGUGUCAGCAGCGAAAAUGAAGGGUUUGUACACGUCAUGGGUGAGCUGGAACACACUGCCAGGGAGCACAGAGGCCUCACUCAGCCUGGCUGUGCCCAUCCAGAACCCAUGAGGCUGCACUGGGAACCCUAGCUACCUGGUGCAUCCUCCUCCCCCCUACUUCUCCUUCUUUCUCCCUUUCUCAGCCCACCCCCCAGUGUCACACUCCAAGACUUAACUAUUUUUUCUUCUGAUCCUGACCGCUUUCCAGACUGUAGUUGGAAACAUUGAUGAGACCUUCAGCCUUCUCAUCCUGGGGGGAAUUACAGGGUAAGGGUCAGCCUGCAGCCCCAAGACCCUGGAGGCCCAGUCAGGCUCCUGGGGGUGGGGCGGUGGAGGGGCAGCUCCUGGGCUUUCCAACCACAAAUCUCCCAAUGCCUAGAGCUCAGGGCAGGAAUCUGGGAUGGGGCAAAGUGUGUGACCAAGAGGUGCCUUUGAGCCAGGAAAGAGGAGCCAAAGAUAUCCAGGAAGACGGCCACAGAAGAAAAGACUGCUUAUGCAUUUGUUGUGUUAUUAGAGAUGCAGGAAGCUGCUCCAUACCCCUGAACUUUGCAAACUCUCUUCUCCCUUCCUGGUUUUUUCAUCUUUCCAUCUGACUAACCUCCAGGCAUUGAUUUCUCAGCCUUCUUGACGUUCCAGGUUGGACUGUCCACCUCUGCAGGGCUCCUACCCACCCCUGGGAUUCUCCUUUAUCAUAGCAUGGGUUCGCUGAACUGGCCUGGGGUGUGCACUCAUCCUCACCACUACCAGCCUGGAGUAGCAGGGACUGUCCCAUCCUCCCUCUGUCCCUAGUACGCAGCCCAGAGCUGGGUACACAGUAGGCACCUGAACAUUCAUUGAAUAAGAAGUUGAACAAAUGGCCCAUCACUAGGAUAGACAGGGUAACAGAAGAGGAAGGAAAGGUGGGCAGAGUAAAGGUGACUCUCUCUACACUGCCCGUGAUACCUUUCUCAGGCUGCUCUUACACACAUAUUAGUUCAUCUUUCUCCAAAGAGUGAUCUUAUUCUAUAGAUAGGGCUCAGGGAGGGGGCCUGUGGCCUUCCUGUGACCACAGGGGGAGCAGACUGGUGGAGUAAGGAUGAAAAUCAUGGCUCUGAUUCACUUGCUAACCCAUGUAUGUGGUGGGGGGCUCACCUGGGGCUGGUGGUACCAGUAAAGCGUGUGUCUCUUGAGCACAAACCAGCAGCGGCGCCAGCGCGGGCCCAUGAAGCCACCAGGCACCUUGCGCAGCAGGAGCCAGCCGUCACAGUCUGGCUGGCCCAGUUCCCGGCAGGACACCCGCCUGCGACUCAGUCGAGUCGCCACGCCUGCAGCAGCACAGCACGGCCUGGGUGUCUGCCUGAGGUAGAGCUGACUCUUCCCAUUUUAGAGAAGAGGAAAUGGAAGAUCAGAGGAUGAGCCAUUAGCCCAAAGUCACAGAGCUGGUCCCAGAGGAGGCCAAGGACGAGGAGGGUCCCCCUCAUCAGCUGGCCCAACCAGGGUCUUAGGAGGAGCCCCGGGUACCUGUUGAGCCAGAAGAGGAGGGUAUGGGCCUCAUGUAUCAGUUUCACAGCUGCACUGAGGACAUGGGCAGGGGGCUCCACACAGCCCUCCAGGUGACCUUGGACUAAGCUCUGGAAAGCAUAGAUCCCCUCCAGCAAUCUCUCUGUCAGGCUCUGAAGGUUCUCUGUCUGUAGCCCAGAGCUCUGUGCCAGAAAAAAAGGCAGGUUAUCUCCUGGCAGUAGACGGCCCCUCAUCAGCAACCCCCAGAUGGGUGGAAGCUGCACAAGUGUGGCCACCAUUCACUCACCAGGGCCCGGAGCUGUUCCACCCCUUCCAGGAUGAGCUCCUGGUGGCCCAGAGGCCACACGGUCAGAGCCUCAAGGCUUCGGGGACAGAGCUGGAGCAGGUACUUGCCAGGCAGUUCCCAUUCCUCAAAGCAGUAGUCCUGUAGGGAGUCAUGGAGGCCUAGAGGGAGAGCAGGGCUUUCAGGCCACUUCUUCAUUCUCACAAAGCCCUCUUUCCUCCCAUCUGCUCGUAACAACAAUCCUGGGACCCAGGGCGUGUUCUGCCCAUUUCACAGAUGAGACUAGAUCAGACUAAUUUACUGAGCAAGUAAAUUAAUCACUCUAUGCCUCAGCUUCCUCACCUGUGAAAUGGCAACAAUAAAAGCACCUACUUUCUGAUCAUGUGGGUAUUAAAUGACAUGGAACACGUGAAGCACUUGGACCAUUCCCUACAUUCCACGGUAGACAGUAGUAGCUGCCAUGGUAUCAUCACCAGACUCUACCCUGAUCUACAAGGCCCUGUAUGAUCAGGCCCCCCCUGACUCUCCAGUCUCAUCCUCUGGCACAGCCCCUCAAACUCAAUACUCUAGAUCCAGAGCCCUAACUCCCUGGAGCUCCUGGAAUGCUCUUUUGCCUCAGGGUCCUCACAUGCACUAUUUCUUCUGCCUGGAUUCUUCUAGCUCCUUCACCCUCCCUUUCAAUCUAACUCCCUCCAGGAAGCUUUCCAUAACUCCCCGGGGUGGGUUGGGAUCUCUCCAGCUCCCACUGCCCCUCAUGCUCUAGGCCAUCCAAAACUGUUCCUCCUUAACUCUAGCCCAUGCCUGGCACAAGGUAGACGAGGCAGACCGAAGACAGGAAAAAUUCCAUUGAAAGCUUAUGUGCUAGGCAAGAUUUUAAGGGUUUUCUAUGUAUUAACACAUUUGGUGCUCACUGAAUGUAGGAGGUAACGACUAUUAUUAUCCUCA
RNA transcript from Canis lupus familiaris (dog), 6240 nucleotides. RefSeq lists it as uncharacterized. The record is from RefSeq and is a predicted model, not a curated record. The transcript has 3 exons. NCBI's taxonomy places the organism in Eukaryota, Metazoa, Chordata, Mammalia, Carnivora, Canidae.